CCCCUAGAUGUUCUGGGCCGCACGCGCGCUACACUGACCAGUGCAACAAGCAUCCGUCCUUGGCCGACAGGCUCGGGCAAUCUUUGAACGCUGGUCGUGAUGGGGAUAGACUUUUGCAAUUUUUGGUCUUCAACGAGGAAUUCCUAGUAAACGCAAGUCAUCAACUUGCAUUGAUUACGUCCCUGCCCUUUGUACACACCGCCCGUCGCUCCUACCGAUUGAAUGGUCCGGUGAAGCGUUCGGACCGUGGCCUUUGGACGGUUCGCCGUCUGUUGGCUGCGGGAAGUUCGUUAAACCUUAUCAUUUAGAGGAAGGAGAAGUCGUAACA
RNAcentral lists this ribosomal RNA (328 nucleotides) under uncultured eukaryote. Its description in RNAcentral is "partial 18S ribosomal RNA". It matches the Rfam family "Eukaryotic small subunit ribosomal RNA", at positions 1470 to 1796 of the family's 1831-position model. The record is from RNAcentral.